This 481-nucleotide ribosomal RNA is filed under the name Aureobasidium pullulans. RNAcentral's name for it is "eukaryotic LSU rRNA". It matches the Rfam family "Eukaryotic large subunit ribosomal RNA", at positions 67 to 556 of the family's 3401-position model. The record is from RNAcentral. Lineage: Eukaryota; Fungi; Ascomycota; Dothideomycetes; Dothideales; Saccotheciaceae.
AACAGGGAUUGCCCUAGUAACGGCGAGUGAAGCGGCAACAGCUCAAAUUUGAAAGCUGGCCUUCGGGUCCGCAUUGUAAUUUGUAGAGGAUGCUUUGGGUGAAACGCCAGUCUAAGUUCCUUGGAACAGGACGUCAUAGAGGGUGAGAAUCCCGUAUGUGACUGGAAAUGUUAACCUAUCUCACGCUCCCUCGACGAGUCGAGUUGUUUGGGAAUGCAGCUCUAAAUGGGAGGUAAAUUUCUUCUAAAGCUAAAUAUUGGCGAGAGACCGAUAGCGCACAAGUAGAGUGAUCGAAAGAUGAAAAGCACUUUGGAAAGAGAGUUAAAAAGCACGUGAAAUUGUUGAAAGGGAAGCGCUUGCAAUCAGACUUGUUUAAACUGUUCGGCCGGUCUUCUGACCGGUUUACUCAGUUUGGACAGGCCAGCAUCAGUUUCGGCGGCCGGAUAAAGGCUCUGGGAAUGUGGCCUUCACUUCGGUGAAG